Molecule: ribosomal RNA, 465 nt
Filed under: Vreelandella stevensii
Lineage: Bacteria; Pseudomonadati; Pseudomonadota; Gammaproteobacteria; Oceanospirillales; Halomonadaceae
Description: partial 16S ribosomal RNA
Rfam family: Bacterial small subunit ribosomal RNA
Source: RNAcentral
CCUACGGGGGGCAGCAGUGGGGAAUAUUGGACAAUGGGGGCAACCCUGAUCCAGCCAUGCCGCGUGUGUGAAGAAGGCCCUCGGGUUGUAAAGCACUUUCAGUGAGGAAGAACGCCUGGUGGUUAAUACCCAUCAGGAAAGACAUCACUCACAGAAGAAGCACCGGCUAACUCCGUGUCAGCAGCCGCGGUAAUACGGAGGGUGCGAGCGUUAAUCGGAAUUACUGGGCGUAAAGCGCGCGUAGGUGGCUUGAUAAGCCGGUUGUGAAAGCCCCGGGCUCAACCUGGGAACGGCAUCCGGAACUGUCAAGCUAGAGUGCAGGAGAGGAAGGUAGAAUUCCCGGUGUAGCGGUGAAAUGCGUAGAGAUCGGGAGGAAUACCAGUGGCGAAGGCGGCCUUCUGGACUGACACUGACACUGAGGUGCGAAAGCGUGGGUAGCAAACAGGAUUAGAUACCCCAGUAGUC